Molecule: ribosomal RNA, 372 nt
Filed under: uncultured organism
Description: bacterial SSU rRNA
Rfam family: Bacterial small subunit ribosomal RNA
Source: RNAcentral
CGUAGGUGGCAAGCGUUGUCCGGAAUUAUUGGGCGUAAAGCGCGCGCAGGCGGUUCCUUAAGUCUGAUGUGAAAGCCCCCGGCUCAACCGGGGAAGGUCAUUGGAAGCUGGGGAACUUGAGUGCAGAAGAGAAGAGCGGAAUUCCACGUGUAGCGGUGAAAUGCGUAGAGAUGUGGAGGAACACCAGUGGCGAAGGCGGCUCUUUGGUCUGUAACUGACGCUGAGGCGCGAAAGCGUGGGGAGCAAACAGGAUUAGAUACCCUGGUAGUCCACGCCGUAAACGAUGAGUGCUAAGUGUUAGAGGGUUUCCGCCCUUUAGUGCUGCAGCUAACGCAUUAAGCACUCCGCCUGGGGAGUACGGCCGCAAGGCUG